Molecule: small nuclear RNA, 19 nt
Filed under: Arabidopsis thaliana (thale cress)
Lineage: Eukaryota; Viridiplantae; Streptophyta; Magnoliopsida; Brassicales; Brassicaceae
Description: snRNA_16584
Source: RNAcentral
GGAUGAACCGGAAGCCGGG